UCGCUCCUACCGAUUGAGUGAUCCGGUGAAUAAUUCGGACUGCAGCUUAGUCCAGUUCCUGGGCUUCGCAGCGGGAAGUUUAGUGAACCUUAUCACUUAGAGGAAGGAG
Molecule: ribosomal RNA, 109 nt
Filed under: uncultured eukaryote
Lineage: Eukaryota
Description: partial small subunit ribosomal RNA
Rfam family: Eukaryotic small subunit ribosomal RNA
Source: RNAcentral